This 244-nucleotide ribosomal RNA is filed under the name Klebsiella pneumoniae. RNAcentral describes it as "partial 16S ribosomal RNA". It matches the Rfam family "Bacterial small subunit ribosomal RNA", at positions 1 to 239 of the family's 1533-position model. Lineage: Bacteria; Pseudomonadati; Pseudomonadota; Gammaproteobacteria; Enterobacterales; Enterobacteriaceae. The record is from RNAcentral. RNAcentral also lists the same sequence under 1 other name.
ACUUAAAUUGAAGAGUUUGAUCAUGGCUCAGAUUGAACGCUGGCGGCAGGCCUAACACAUGCAAGUCGAGCGGUAGCACAGAGAGCUUGCUCUCGGGUGACGAGCGGCGGACGGGUGAGUAAUGUCUGGGAAACUGCCUGAUGGAGGGGGAUAACUACUGGAAACGGUAGCUAAUACCGCAUAACGUCGCAAGACCAAAGUGGGGGACCUUCGGGCCUCAUGCCAUCAGAUGUGCCCAGAUGGG